AUUGAACGCUGGCGGCAUGCCUUACACAUGCAAGUCGAGCGGGGUGAUGGUGCUUGCACUAUCACUUAGCGGCGGACGGGUGAGUAAUGCUUAGGAAUCUGCCUAUUAGUGGGGGACAACAUCUCGAAAGGGAUGCUAAUACCGCAUACGUCCUACGGGAGAAAGCAGGGGAUCUUCGGACCUUGCGCUAAUAGAUGAGCCUAAGUCGGAUUAGCUAGUUGGUGGGGUAAAGGCCUACCAAGGCGACGAUCUGUAGCGGGUCUGAGAGGAUGAGCCGCCACACUGGGACUGAGACACGGCCCAGAAUCCUACGGGAGGCAGCAGUGGGGAAUAUUGGACAAUGGGGGGAACCCUGAUCCAGCCAUGCCGCGUGUGUGAAGAAGGCCUUAUGGUUGUAAAGCACUUUAAGCGAGGAGGAGGCUACUCUAGUUAAUACCUAGGGAUAGUGGACGUUACUCGCAGAAUAAGCACCGGCUAACUCUGUGCCAGCCGCCGCGGUAA
Molecule: ribosomal RNA, 501 nt
Filed under: uncultured bacterium
Lineage: Bacteria
Description: partial 16S ribosomal RNA
Rfam family: Bacterial small subunit ribosomal RNA
Source: RNAcentral